This is a long non-coding RNA of Helianthus annuus (common sunflower), 4455 nucleotides long. RefSeq lists it as uncharacterized. The transcript has 5 exons. The record is from RefSeq and is a predicted model, not a curated record. Lineage: Eukaryota; Viridiplantae; Streptophyta; Magnoliopsida; Asterales; Asteraceae.
CUCUCAACUCUCUCUCUCUCAAACUGACUUUCUCUCUCUCCAGUAUGUAUCUUCAACGCAAGAAGAUGAUGAUGAAUAAAAGAUCCCUCUUUAAAACUUUUGAUAAAACCCUUUUCAUCAUCAUUCUCUCUCAUUUUGCACCGCCACCAACCAACAGGUAAAGAUUACUCUUCUUCAAUAAUCAAUCCUCACUUUCCUUUUUCUCAGGUGACUUAUCAAGGUGACGUUCCGAUUGAAGAGAUUCAAUCCAAGGCGAAAUUUAAUCGAAGGCGGUUUCUGGUCGCGUGUGGAACCGCAGAGAAGAGGAAACGGUGAAUUGAUCAGAAACAGAGUCCACGAGCAUCUUUGCAUCUUACGAUUCAAUCGAUAUACGAUGCUAAACUCUCUGAUUAAUCGGCGGUCCGACGAAAGAAAACGAGUGUUGUUCAAUCUGCCAUGGUAGCUUCAACAUCCCUUAUCAAGCCAAUUGUUCUCACUGGUAUUGCGGUACGUCGUCGUAUUCCAAAGAAAACAACUGUAGUUUCUAACUUAAAUCUACCAUGGUUUUAAGUUAAUUUACAGGUCUUGAACGAGUGCUCAGAAGCAGAUAGAAGAGCUUCUUGCAAAGUUGUAUCGACCAGAUGUUCAUUGAAACGUUUGGAGGAUAAAUCAGUUCAUAGCUUGAAUGGAUUUUUUUGUAGAUAGAUUGGCGAGUUUAAUCAGUUAUCUUUAUAUUGAAUUCUUUUUUCCACCUUCUGCUUUGUCUGUGUUCCUUAAAUUGAUAUCUCAUCCGAACUCCAGUUCUUAAAUUGGGUUUUUACUGUUGUAGAUGAAAGAGCAUUGAUGUUUUCAUUUGGAUUUCAAUUACCGGAAGAUAAAUUAAGGUAUUGAAGCUUCAUGGUUAAUUAUUUUAUAAUUACUUUAUUAUAGAUCUGAAUUUGGUAAUAGAACAAAUGCGAUGGGCUUCAUGUCUAAAUGGGAUGGGUUUGGUUUAAAAUGUACACGGAGUAAUAUUAUCCUGUAAUUCUGCAAGAUAUUAUUGGAAUUGUAGGUUUUGUGUAGAUUAUCCAGUCUAAUCGUGAUUGGAAUCGGAUUCGAAUCGGAGUAAUAUUAUCCUGUAACUUUGCGUGUAAUCGUGAUUCGAAUCGGAUGAGUUUCGGUUCGUUUCAGUGUGUUUCGGUGACAUUUUGAAGGUUAUCGGAGAAUUUCAGUUGAAUACAAAAGAAAAGAUUCAAUUGAAGAAACUAUUGUUGGCUGAAAAGAUCUGAUUUUGUUAUCAAUAAUACAUCAAAAAAUGGAAUAAAUGUGCAGUAUGAUUCAGAUUAUAAUAACAUAAACAACAUAAUCUGAGUUCGAAAGUUCUUAGAACAAUAUAUUGAAUUGGUUGUGUUAUCGGUCGAAAUCGGUAACUUUUGGCUAAAGUUUUUGGCACGUUUCGGGCUGACUUAAAUCAUUUCCGGUAAAUUUCGAUCAAAAUGCUUCGGACAGUAUACAUUGUCAAUGAACUGAUUCGAGUAUGAUGUUGUGAUUAGUGUUGUGAUAAUCUGAGUUUAUUUUUUUAAAAAGAAAACGAGAGUAGCUGUUAUAAGAAAGUUGCAGGUUUGAUUAUUUCGAAGAAAGAAUUCAAAAGUAGGUUGUUGUUGUUUCAAUUGCAUGGUUCGCUUGUAUAGGUGUGUUGGCUGGGUAUGCAAAGUUGAAGAUGUACAAGUAAUAGCAGAUGGUUUUAGUGGCUUUUUGCGAAAUUAAAAGUUUUAGAAAGGAGAUAUUAGGGUUUUGCUUUGAGGUGUGAAACCACUGUUUUUUCAUAAAAAGUGUUUUGAAACCACUGUUGGGUCAACAGAUGGAUGAAAACAGAUGUUUGAUACCACUGUUGGGCUAAAAAAUGUUUUGUGGAGAAAACAGUGGUUGAACCCACUGUUUGGUUAAAACGGUGGCUUGAAACCAGUGUUUGGUUACAACAGUGGUUUAUGGAGAAAAAGAUGUUUCAAACUAGUGUUGGAUUAAAACAGUGGUUUGAAACCAUACUAUUUGUUCAACAGUGGGUUAAAACCACUUGAUGAAGCAGCAUAGGAUAUGGAUGACGUUGCUUGAUGCCAAAAUCACUUGAAUGUGUUGAAAAAAUGGUACAGGGGAUAUACGAGCAGCUACCGCUAAGGAUAUUGAUAUUGAUGCGUUUGCUAUAUGGAAUGCUUGGGGACUGGCUUUAAUUCGGAUGGAACACUAUGCUCAAGCUCGUGUCAAGUUCAACAGGUGGAACGAACAAGAUGUUAAUAGCCUAUCAUGAAACUGGUCAUGCAAUCUGCGCGUAAGUAUUCACUCUACUCAUCAUUUUAACAUAAUGUGAUGCAGUUUGGUCUAAUUUUUAGGAUCAUGUGCUGGUUUUAGGACUGUGACUCAAGGGCAUGAUCCAUUAUACAAAUGCACUAAUCGAUUCACAUACCUCUUUAGUUUUACAAAAGUCCACAAACUGUCAUAUAGGCAAUUUGGGCAAGCAAAUACUGCAUAUGAGCUUUUUGAACAACUUUUUUGCAUUUCUUGGAUAAACCAUGUUGAUAUCUCUAAGGCUUUAUUCUUUUAUGGGCAAACUGUUGUUUACUAUGCAAUCUACAUUUGUGAAAUCAAGUAACGUCUGUGACAACCAGGUCGUUUGGCUAAAGGUUAGUUAUGCUUUCCCUUCCCUUACUUAAAGUGACUUAUUUUGAAAAGAUACUAAGACUGAAGAUGCUUUGGUAAUUUGCCAAUCAUUUUGCAGCGAAGUGAUGAUUCUGAACCGUUUUCUAAAUCCAAGUUAAAUAUUAUUAUAAUAGAAUACCAAAUAUCAUAUCUAGCGUGCAUUAGAGGUGACACACAUGAUUUAAGUAAAAAAUGACACACAUGAAAUUCUUAAUGUUUCGACUUUUAAGAUAUUUGAUAUAAUAUAUUCUAUUGUAUAUACUGUGAUGCUAUAGUGUUCUUAUAUGUAACCGGAACAUGUAAAUGUCGCAGUGCCCUUAUGGAUUGAGUCGGGUGUGAAAAGUGUCGUCUAUGGGGAAAGCUUCAGGUUCUUAGCGUCGAAACUGCACUAAAAAUCCUGUUCUCUGUUGAUGGUCAAGAAGGCCGAGAUCAGCUUGUGAGUAUCACAUACUUAUUGAUUUAUAUAAUUAAAGUCUUAAUCUUCGUCCUGCCUGAUAUCUAUAUUUGUUUUUGUUUUACUGGAUCACAGCUGCUAAUCUUCGUCCUGCCUGAUAUCUAUAUUUGUUUUUGUUUUACUGGAUCACAGCUGUAACACCUCGUAAAAUCAUACCCAAUAAAAUAAAGACACAUGUCAUGUAAUACAAACGUGUUAUGAAAACGGAUCCAGAUAAAGAUGUACGGUAGGAUUUAAAAGCGUCGACAUGUUAAUUUAUACCACUGAGCGACCCAUUAAUAAAUCCCUAACCAUAAUAUAUUUAAUCAACAUCUAAAUUAUGCAAAUAAAUCUGGUUAUCCUAAAAUAACAAAUUGAUUAUAACUCAAGACUUGGAUCCAAUGUGAGUUCUCGAAAAUGUUGGCACUUGAGGCAUUCAACACAAAGAACCAAAAUGUGUAAGAGCAUGCAAAGCAUGCAAGGUCUGAGCACUUGGUCCCUCUACUAAAAAGGAAAGCACAAGAUUUGGACUUGUAAGGAAUGCAUGGUCAAAGUUUGGAAGUUUACAAAUUUUUGGAUUCUGGUCAUCGGAUACGGACCGCAAAGCCAAGGGCUUACGGUCCGUAAAGAUGGAACUGGGCGAUAUAAGCCAGGGUCAGUUACGGAUCGCAUCCGUUGAGCAUACGGACCACAAGAGGUGCUUACGGUCCGCAAGAGCUUUGGCUUACGGUCCGUAAGCCUGUCGCCGGCAGCAGAAUUAGGACAGCUACCUGUUCAGCAGGUUGCACCGCCUUAAAUGGGUGGUUUUCGAAUACAGGGAUCUUGCAACUGGUUUUGGCAUCAUAGAGGGCACUUGGACUCAUCUGGCAACAUUCAUAGACUUAGGUGGGACAAUCUUGUGACAUUUUGUUCACUAUAUAAAGGAACCAAGUUGCAACAUUCUCACUUGCUCACUUGGAAAAUUAUUCAAGACUUCUCUGGAGCUUCUCUGAUCAGCAACAAGUCUUCUUAAGAUCCCUAAUCAUUCUUAGGACCUUUAUCUGAAGUGAUUCGAGCAUGUCUACAGGUUUGGCGUUUAUCGCCAUGCUUAACCUUUUUGGGUUAUUUUGGAGUUUGAAGAAAAUGGUUAUGGAUUCCGGGACAAGGGCGUUGGAUCAUUUGGCAUUACAGAUUGGAGUGUGUAUCUUUGUCGUGUGGAUUAACUUGCCGGUUUAUGAAGGACUCUUUGUUCGGAAAGACGACGGACAAAUGCCGACUUCUGUCACUUGCAACUCGGUUAUCUUGGCUUUGAUAGCUUGUCUUAGUAUUGUACUCUUUAACAAUUGAUGGUCUAUGAUGGAACUGUGGUUAUUAUGCAUGUCAUUUAUUAA